AUCUUAUCAAGAGUGGGGGAGGGACAAGCCCUGUGAACCCACGGCAACCGGUCCCGAAAGGGAUGUAUGGUGCCAACUCUUGCGGGGAAAGUCGCCCCGACAGAUGAGAC
Non-coding RNA from Deltaproteobacteria bacterium GWD2_55_8, 110 nucleotides. NCBI's taxonomy places the organism in Bacteria, Deltaproteobacteria. The record is from Rfam.